UGAACUAGUAAGUUUCCAACUCUCAAACACUGAACUAGUAGAAGAUUUCUGAAGUGCCCUCUAGUUCUCCUAAACUAAAACCAUUAAUUUGCACCAGAUGAAAUGGACUAAUCAAGCAAAAGUAAUUAGGGUUUAGAAAAUGUGAAGUCCUUAGGUUCAUAUUGAUCUAGCUAUUUUGGAUUUUCCAGUUAAUACUUAUAUCAACGUUAAGAUACCAGAGGAGACAGAUAAGCAACAGAAAAAAGGCCAUCUCAGGCCCAGUAUUAGUCUUUGACAGUGAAACAUUGUGUUAAUACUCUGAACUACAUAAAUAAAUACUUCCUCUCUAUUAUUUCUUGGGACUUCUUAAUGUUUAUACUCAGCUCUAAUCAUUGUCUGGUUUAUGGCUAGGCA
This 393-nucleotide long non-coding RNA is filed under the name Bos taurus (domestic cattle). RNAcentral's name for it is "long non-coding RNA NONBTAT011183". The record is from RNAcentral. Lineage: Eukaryota; Metazoa; Chordata; Mammalia; Artiodactyla; Bovidae.